CAGCCGCCGCGGGAAUACGAGGGGGGCAAGCGUUGUUCGGAAUUAUUGGGCGUAAAGGGCGCGUAGGCGGUUUGGCAAGUUUGGUGUGAAAUCUUCGGGCUCAACUCGAAGUCUGCAUCGAAAACUGCCGGGCUUGAGUAUGGGAGAGGUGAGUGGAAUUUCCGGUGUAGCGGUGAAAUGCGUAGAUAUCGGAAGGAACACCUGUGGCGAAAGCGGCUCACUGGACCAUGACUGACGCUGAGGCGCGAAAGCUAGGGGAGCAAACAGGAUUAGAUACCCCGGUAGUCCCUGUCUCUUAUAC
Molecule: ribosomal RNA, 301 nt
Filed under: uncultured bacterium
Lineage: Bacteria
Description: partial 16S ribosomal RNA
Rfam family: Bacterial small subunit ribosomal RNA
Source: RNAcentral